RNAcentral lists this ribosomal RNA (511 nucleotides) under uncultured bacterium. RNAcentral describes it as "partial 16S ribosomal RNA". It matches the Rfam family "Bacterial small subunit ribosomal RNA", at positions 30 to 523 of the family's 1533-position model. The record is from RNAcentral.
AUUGAACGCUGGCGGCAUGCCUAACACUUGCAAGUCGAACGGCAGCACAAUAAAGAUUUCGGUCUUUAUGGGUGGCGAGUGGCGGACGGGUGAGUAACGCGUAGGAAUCUGUCCUGGAGAGUGGGAUAACCCGAGGAAACUCGGGCUAAUACUGCAUGACAUUGAGAGAUCAAAAGCAGGGGACCGAAAGGCCUUGCGCUCUGGGGUGAGCCUACGUCGGAUUAGCUAGUUGGUGGGGUGAAGGCCUACCAAGGCGACGAUCCGUAGCUGGUCUGAGAGGAUGACCAGCCACACUGGGACUGAGACACGGCCCAGACUCCUACGGGAGGCAGCAGUGGGGAAUCUUGGACAAUGGGGGAAACCCUGAUCCAGCGAUGCCGCGUGUGUGAAGAAGGCCUUCGGGUUGUAAAGCACUUUAGGUGGGGAAGAAAGGUAGCGAGUGAAUAACUUUCUGCUGUGACGGUACCCACAGAAUAAGCACCGGCUAACUCUGUGCCAGCCGCCGCGGUAA